This 223-nucleotide long non-coding RNA is filed under the name Macaca mulatta (Rhesus monkey). RNAcentral's name for it is "lncRNA (ENSMMUG00000051975.1)". Lineage: Eukaryota; Metazoa; Chordata; Mammalia; Primates; Cercopithecidae. The record is from RNAcentral.
UCUUGGUCUCGCUGACUUCGGGAGCGAAGCUACAGACCUUCAGGGUUGGAGGAAUCAUUGAAUUUUCCUUCAUCUCCUCCAUGCUGCUGCCCACUUCUCACAGAAGGUGGAAGACCAGCCCUUAAAUUGGCUUAACUGCUGACUGCUCUGUGAGAGGCCUCCUGGAAGACUGGUGUCAGACUCAGGUAGGAAUCCAUCUACUGCCAUGUGCAAGAAAAGAAAA